CAGCCGCCACGGUAAUACAGAGGGUGCAAGCGUUAAUCGGAAUUACUGGGCGUAAAGUGCGCGUAGGUGGUUUGUUAAGUUGGAUGUGAAAUCCCCGGGCUCAACCUGGGAACUGCAUCCAAAACUGGCAAGCUAGAGUAUGGUAGAGGGUGGUGGAAUUUCCUGUGUAGCGGUGAAAUGCGUAGAUAUAGGAAGGAACACCAGUGGCGAAGGCGACCACCUGGACUGAUACUGACACUGAGGUGCGAAAGCGUGGGGAGCAAACAGGAUUAGAUACCCCCGUAGUCCCUGUCUCUUAUAC
Molecule: ribosomal RNA, 301 nt
Filed under: uncultured bacterium
Lineage: Bacteria
Description: partial 16S ribosomal RNA
Rfam family: Bacterial small subunit ribosomal RNA
Source: RNAcentral